ACGGGAGGCAGCAGUGGGGAAUAUUGGGCAAUGGGCGAAAGCCUGACCCAGCAACGCCGCGUGAAGGAUGAAGGUCUUCGGAUUGUAAACUUCUUUUAUGAGGGACGAAGAAAGUGACGGUACCUCAUGAAUAAGCCACGGCUAACUACGUGCCAGCAGCCGCGGUAAUACGUAGGUGGCGAGCGUUAUCCGGAUUUACUGGGUGUAAAGGGCGCGUAGGCGGGGAUGCAAGUCAGAUGUGAAAUCUAUGGGCUCAACCCAUAAACUGCAUUUGAAACUGUAUCUCUUGAGUGCUGGAGAGGUAGACGGAAUUCCUAGUGUAGCGGUGAAAUGCGUAGAUAUUAGGAAGAACACCGGUGGCGAAGGCGGUCUACCGGACAGUAACUGACGCUGAGGCGCGAAAGCGUGGGGAGCAAACAGGAUUAGAUACCCUGGUA
RNAcentral lists this ribosomal RNA (437 nucleotides) under uncultured Oscillospiraceae bacterium. RNAcentral's name for it is "bacterial SSU rRNA". It matches the Rfam family "Bacterial small subunit ribosomal RNA", at positions 341 to 792 of the family's 1533-position model. Lineage: Bacteria; Bacillati; Bacillota; Clostridia; Eubacteriales; Oscillospiraceae. The record is from RNAcentral.